This 84-nucleotide microRNA precursor is filed under the name Chlorocebus sabaeus (green monkey). RNAcentral's name for it is "mir-548 microRNA precursor family". It matches the Rfam family "mir-548 microRNA precursor family". The record is from Rfam by way of RNAcentral. Lineage: Eukaryota; Metazoa; Chordata; Mammalia; Primates; Cercopithecidae. RNAcentral also lists the same sequence under 1 other name.
UAUUAGGUUGGUGCAAAAGUAAUUGAGGUCUUUGUCAUUACUUUCAAUGACAAAGACCUCAAUUACUUUUGCACCAACCUAAUA